CCUACGGGAGGCUGCAGUGGGGAAUAUUGCACAAUGGGGGGAACCCUGAUGCAGCGACGCCGCGUGGGUGAAGGAGUAUUUCGGUAUGUAAAGCCCUAUCAGCAGGGAAGAACAAUGACGGUACCUGACUAAGAAGCACCGGCUAAAUACGUGCCAGCAGCCGCGGUAAUACGUAUGGUGCAAGCGUUAUCCGGAUUUACUGGGUGUAAAGGGAGCGCAGGCGGCGCGUUAAGCCUGGUGUGAAAGUCCGCGGCCCAACCGCGGGACUGCAUUGGGAACUGGCGCGCUUGAGUGCCGGAGGGGUAGGCGGAAUUCCUAGUGUAGCGGUGAAAUGCGUAGAUAUUAGGAGGAACACCAGUGGCGAAGGCGGCCUACUGGACGGUGACUGACGCUGAGGCUCGAAAGCGUGGGGAGCAAACAGGAUUAGAUACCCUUGUAGUC
RNAcentral lists this ribosomal RNA (441 nucleotides) under uncultured bacterium. RNAcentral's name for it is "partial 16S ribosomal RNA". It matches the Rfam family "Bacterial small subunit ribosomal RNA", at positions 338 to 795 of the family's 1533-position model. The record is from RNAcentral.